This is a long non-coding RNA of Neopsephotus bourkii (Bourke's parrot), 1127 nucleotides long. RefSeq lists it as uncharacterized. Lineage: Eukaryota; Metazoa; Chordata; Aves; Psittaciformes; Psittacidae. The record is from RefSeq and is a predicted model, not a curated record. The transcript has 3 exons.
GAGGGCUUGUCUGGACUUGUUCAGGCCUGAGCCUGCCUUUGUCUCUGCGAUCCCAGGGAUCCCAGUGGAUCAAAGAGGAUCUGCCUGUGCAGUCUGCAGCUGCUUUGCCGAUGAGACCUCCUUGAGAGACCCCAGCAGCAGUCUGUUGAGCCGGAGCCCUCCUGUCUGUCCAGCUGCGAGGUCGGCCUGCAGGAGUGGUGGCAGGGAGCGGGGUGGAGUCGCAGCUCUAUCAAGAAAGCAGGAACUGGCUGAGUUUGCAGAGUCUGAACGAUGAAGCAGGUGUCUACACGCUCUGGAGCCUGUCCUCAGCUUGCUUGAGCUGUAUCAAACCCAGCAGCAGAAAGUCGGGGUCCCCUGGGAGCUUAGAUGGACUCUGGGUACCACUGCCAGCUGGAUCAUCUCCUACCGCACAACUGGAAGACACUGAUAAAGCACAGAUCUGCAUCUAACCACUGCACUAACACAGGAUGGAUGUGAGCUGGUGUGAUUUGUGCAGACUGGGUCACAUCUCUUCAGGAAAAGCACCCCAAGGACCAGUGUGAAGCGAAACGCAUCAUGUGUUAGCUUUUCUCUACAGGGAAAAUUGCCUUUCUGGGGCAAACUCUGAGCCUUUAACUGGCAAAUUCAAUUACACAUGCACAACCAUGUAAACUUCAAGUGGCACCUCUGGCCUUUACUCAGGGAUGCUAAUACACAUGAUGGUGUCAUUGAUGGAUUUUGUCAAAGUUCCCUAAUACAGGAUGCUUUUCAUAAAUGCCCAAUGGUGGUAAAUUUACCAGGUACUUGAGCUUUAAGGGAGGAGAAAAGGAUUUGCUGUUAGACAAGCUGCUGACAUGAAAACAGCUUAUUGGCCAGCACCUUUGCAGAGGUCUCUCGUAACUCUAAACUAGCUCAACUGUUGGUUUCCCUGUAAGACUUGAGAGCUGUUCCCAAGUCAGUCAUCCCUAGAAAUGCAGCUUCUGACCACCUUGAAGUAAGAGCAAUCUCAAGACCUGGAUAACUGUCUACUGUAUUGCAAAUACUUGCUUUCUCUGCAGCCACAGCAGUGAGAAAUCAGUUAAAUGAUUCUAGGUCUCUGAAGAGGGAAUGCCUUUCUCUCCUUUAGCUUUUGCUGCUUAGCUUUUGAA